Molecule: ribosomal RNA, 429 nt
Filed under: uncultured bacterium
Lineage: Bacteria
Description: bacterial SSU rRNA
Rfam family: Bacterial small subunit ribosomal RNA
Source: RNAcentral
AAGACCACGCCCUCGAAAGAGGAAGCGGUCAAAGCUGCCCUCUAUACAUAGGUAGCGCUUGAAAAUGAGCCCGCGGAGCAUCAGCUAGUUGGUGAGGUAUGGCUCACCAAGGCUUAGACGCUUAGCUGGUCUGAGAGGAUGAUCAGCCCACUGGAACUGAGACACGGUCCAGACUCCUACGGGAGGCAGCAGUGGGGAUCUUGCGCAAUGGGCGAAAGCCUGACGCAGCGACGCCGCGUGAGUGAUAAGGCCUUCGGGUUGUAAAGCUCUGUGGGGAGAGAAGAGUAAGUGCGGGUAAUACUCCGCAUGAUGACGGUAUCUUCUUAACAAGCACCGGCUAACUCUUGCCAGCAGCCGCGGUAAGACAGAGGGUGCAAACGUUGUUCGGAAUUGUAAGCGAGUGUAGGCGGUUCGGUAAGUCGGAUGUGA